CGGGGUGAGUAAUGUAUGGGGAUCUGCCUGAUGGCGGGGGAUAACUACUGGAAACGGUAGCUAAUACCGCAUAAUGUCUACGGACCAGAGCGGGGGACCUCCGGGCCUCGCGCCAUCAGAUGAACCCAUAUGGGAUUAGCUAGUAGGUAAGGUAACGGCUCACCUAGGCGACGAUCCCUAGCUGGUCUGAGAGGAUGACCAGCCACACUGGAACUGAGACACGGUCCAG
This 229-nucleotide ribosomal RNA is filed under the name uncultured bacterium. RNAcentral describes it as "partial 16S ribosomal RNA". It matches the Rfam family "Bacterial small subunit ribosomal RNA", at positions 104 to 334 of the family's 1533-position model. The record is from RNAcentral.